Molecule: transfer RNA, 73 nt
Filed under: Planctomycetota bacterium
Lineage: Bacteria; Pseudomonadati; Planctomycetota
Description: Planctomycetes bacterium (marine metagenome) tRNA-Ile
Rfam family: tRNA
About the family: Transfer RNA (tRNA) molecules are approximately 80 nucleotides in length. Their secondary structure includes four short double-helical elements and three loops (D, anti-codon, and T loops).
Source: RNAcentral
AGCCCGGUCGUUCAACGGUCAAGGACUCCGUUCUGAUAAGGCGGCAAUGAAGGUUCGAUUCCUUCCCGGGCUA